UUUUUUUUCUUUUUUUUUGUAUAGACAAAAUAAAAUCUGCCAAGCAAUUGGAUUUUUCUCCUUUUUUAAUUACAAAGGUAAAAUAUCACAGGAAUUCAAAGCCCUACAAACACAGCAGCUUUUCCCUGUCCCUCUCUCUCCCUGCUCACUAUCUCUGGGAGGGCCUGAGCUGUUCACAAAAUGGCAGGCUGACUCAGUGCCCUGCCUGGACUAGUCUUAAGUACUGACAUCCCUUUAAGUCUGUCAGUUUAUGAUGCCAUCUGAUGUAGUAGGUCAUUAGUCACUUAAGUCACGUGGUAUUUGCAUUGCCCCCUUAUUGGAUGAUCGAUGCUUUAAACAAAACAGAAAAUGUCAAGUCAUUUCAUUAUAUUGUGGGUGGUUUUUCUAAUGAGCAAGCAUUUUGGCCAGAGAUGCAUAUUAGCUUUUAGGACUCAUUUUCACAGGCAGUCAAACACUUUUCCAUACUUAGUGGCAGCAAAAGAGGGGGCAUUUCUCCCAUUUAUAGCAAAAUGCAGUGUAUAAACAUAACUUAGUAGCACUGUAUGUAUUUUCUUUUUGUAGACUGGCAUUUCCAGUUGUGUAGAAACAAGAACUGCAGAGGCACUAAAAAUGGAAUCAAGCUCAAAGACCAAGACAUAUGUGCUUCUGACAGCACACUUUGAUUCUCAACAUUGGGUCACCAUAAUCGACCCCUUGGUGUUCACUUGAAAUCCUCUCUUUUUAAUCCAUGCUCUUUCCUUUCCCAAGAUGCAGAGUUUUACAGGUAGGAUAUUCAGGAGCCUACAGCACUGGCUUAUCUUUGACUUCACUCUGAGCACACACAGGCCAGUUGCAAAUGUUUUUAAAACCUUUCCCAAUGUUCAUCAUUACCUUAUAUCCUUUCCUGCUACUUGAGCUUGUCACUACUCUAAAUCCUUCCCUACCACUUACAGGUUACUUUUCUGCAGAACUUUCUUAGUCAAACUCAACUUAUGAUUUAAUUCACACCAAAAGAAAUCGUUACAAAAAGUCACAAAGCAGCUAUGCAGGGUACAAGGAAGUACUUAUGUUUCUGAAAGCACAUGGAAAAUGGUUCUUAGUUCUCAGCUGACAAGAACCACUUGAAAUACCCAACACAUGCCCCAUUCACCACUAGACCAGAAGAUGCCCCACAGAAGAGCAGUGGCUCACUGACAACAGGAAAAAGACAAGAAAAAUUGCUCUGAGAGGGAAAGGAGGAGCUGCAUGGAAUAAAGUGUUCUCUGUCACCUUGUAGAUGGAGUGUUCAGAGCAGAACUAAAGCCUGCCAUGCAUGCACUGACUGUCCACAAGGUGAAAUGAUACUGAAGAGGCAUUUCCAUUGUGAAGACUUUCUAAAAGGCCUGCUGGAUCUGUUGGGAAGAACAUUUUUCAAAGAGAUUCAGACAACAAACUGUGCUUUCCACAAUAAAAAUAUCCAUUAAGCUCCAUUAUGGUUAUUUUUAUUGAAGCUAGUCUAGACAUUCAAGUAUAAUUUUUAUUAAUCUCCAGAUAAAUAGAAAUCUAGAUAAAGAUGGAGCCACUGCUGCUGUGUAGGGUCAGACUUCAUAACAGCCCAGUCAUUAUCCUAUCUCCAACAGCAACCAGAACACAAUAAGCAUUCAAGCUUCCCUCAUUCCCAAAUGCCCUGUGACUCAUACUCUGCCUCACUGUGUUAAACAGUUCCUCAGCAUUUUUUUUUCAUUAAAGCAUUUAAUAUUUGGGAAAAAAAAAAAGGAGAAAAUUUGGCUUAUUCUUCUGUUGAUGAAAUGAAUCUCACUUGAAAGCUUGUUUUAUUUUAAUUUCCAAUCUGCCUGAGAUCUUUCAAGUCUAUCUAAUCCUAAAAUACCAAACACUUUAAGAAUUCUUUUUAGUUUUCAGAAAUUGGAAGCAGUCAGCAGUUUCUCCCAAGGAUAAUACAAGUUUGAAGAUAUCCUGGGCUUUUAAACAAACACAAAUUAUGAAGUUUAGGCUUCAAAGAAGCCCUUCCAGCUAACUUCGAACCCUUUCAGGUUUGGAAAUUAUUGUCUCUAGUUGCUUUCUUGGCAAAGAAAGAACUGAAACCAUGAUCCCAGCCUGGCCUGCAUUAUCUUGUCUUGUGCUGGUAAUGUCUUGGUACAGUGUAAAGGUCAUUUCUGAACCUGACAGAUCCAUGAGACUGAAGCUUCUGGUUUUGGAAAGAGCUAGAAACUUUCCAGGCUACAUCAGCCUGGCUGUUUCUGGAGAAAGUGGACCAGCUCAUCUAGGAUUGAUACUGAGGUUAAGAAAUCUAUCAUGUUUUAUUGUUCCUGCUGAUGUAUGACAUGCCAUCCUUCAUCUCUUUGUAAUGCAGAGUGCCUGCAUGUUGGCUCACAUUAUACUGUCAGCUUCACUUUUACUCCCUCCUCCCCCAACUCCAUUUGGUCUGUUCAUGCUAAAAAUAACAUCAAGAUUCAUGACUAUGAAAGGGAUGGGUGCCAGAGAGAGGAAAACUUGCUGACUUAAAGACUCGUGGCCAUACUUACCACCUUCUAAUGCAAGCCUGGAUUGUCUCUAUUCGAGGAACUCCAGAAAGUGGGGGGCAAAGUCACCUACUUGAGGAGAUUGUCCACUAUCUAUAUUAAAAUCUUUUCAGCAAUGCAGGUCAAGGGACAGACUGACACUUUCAGGCAUUCCAGGCUCCUGUCUUCUCUGUGGCAUGAUCAAAGGCUGUUGUGUGGGUUUAAUGUGUGACUUCUUUGGGAAAGGCCACCAAAGCCCAAAGAAAAGUUCUUCACCUUCAUUUUAAGGCUCUGUGAGGUUUGCACCAGGUCUUGGACAUCCCCCUUGUGCAUCUCCCAUCUCUGUUUGAAAGUCUGACUGACAGCUCUUCCUUUCCAGACAGUAAGCACAUGCUUGCAGGGAAGAAAGGAGCUUUAGCAAAAGUACAUACAAGGAAUUUGUUCUGCUAAUCAAGUAGCAGAUGUCUGCUCUCUGAGCUUAUAACAAAAUCUUGCCCCUUUGUGGUAUUCAGGGGCUCCAGGCCACUGGAGAUGUGCCUUCCCAGUAAGAUUUCUAAUGCUGCUCAUCUCUAGACAUUUAAGAGCCUGGGGUUUUUCUCUUCAGUUAUUGUUCUUUUCUAAAAUUGGAUGUCUUUUCUUUCUUAAAGUGCAGCUAUGGUGUCAUGAUGUCCUAAUUUGUAUAAUUGCUGUCUAUCCUAAAGUUUCCCCUGCAGUUUCAAUUACAUAUCUCACUUCAAUUAAACUCUUUAAUUCUUGUCCCAAACUGGCACACAGCAUGGCUAACAGUCAUGGUUAUCCUGCUCUACCCCAAAGCUGCCUGCACUGUCCUAGUGAGAUGGCUGAAUAGAAAGCAGUUUGAAGCCACCCAGGAUAAAAUGCAUUGGAAGAAAUGUCAAACAUUAAUCCUGAGUUAUUCUCACCUUUGUUUUCCAUCUGGAGGAACACAAUAUGAACCAGAAAACCUUAAAGGAAAUUUCAAACUCAAGGUUUGAACCAGAGUUAAGGAAGCACAGCAGAAAUUGAAUACCCUGCCUGGCUUCCUGAGUAAAGGAAUGGAAGAGGUGAAAGGCUCAUUUGAGGGGGCUGAAGACCCUCUAGAGGGUGCCCAGAGGAUAAAACCAUGCAACUUAAAGCACUACAAGAGGGAGAUAGAGGAGAGGGCUGGGGUAGGGUUUGCCACACAGGCAGUAGGGCCUGUUCCAUAAAGCAUCUUGUCGUGUAAACAAGAUGUACCUUUGACAUCCUCCCCUUCAGGGCACCAAGGCAUGAAGCAGGCGAUGUAUUUCAAGCCAAACAGGUGAUUUGUAGGUGCUAAGUGUUCAUAAAGACAAGAUUAAAGAGCUCUCUGAUAGCAGGGCAGUAAAUCAUUCCCCACCUGCAGAGUUGAGUGCCGGGCACGGAUGCUCCUCCGACCCUGAUUAAAUAAAGGAUGGCUCAGCAAGAUGGGGGCUAAAGUUAGCUGACAGCUCAUGAGUGAACUAGUGUCUUGCCUGCUGCUGUUGCAACUGAUGGCUAAUUUUCUCCCAAAGGAACCUUUGCAAAGACUGGUAAUUAAAACUGGUGGAAGGCAAACAGGCUCAUGGGAAGGCAGACCCAUCUGUCCACUAUCCUUCAACCAUGAGCGUCCCCUGACUAACAGCCUCUGUGGGUCAAAGCUGCUCCUGGGUGAAUAAAAUCCCAAAACCUGGUGCUUUCACAUGCUCCAGUGAAAGAAAGCUACAAAUAAAUAUCUAACAGCUUUAUAACCAGCAUGCAACAAACCUUGAACAAGCUCCAGGUGCCCUACCUAGAGUGUUGGGGAUCAAAUACACACAUACAUAAAUAUAUAUGUAAGCAUAUAUAUACAUGUCUCUGAAACACCCUUAUGUUCUCACAGUAUCCCAGGCUCUCCCCUGAGAAUCAUGUUUUCCCUUACCCAGUCAACUGCGUGUGAAAAUAAUUAUCUGGGUGUUACAACCUGGGAAGUGAUGGCCCAGAGGAGGGAGCUUUUUCAGUCAAAGAUGCAGAAUUUGAUGGCAGAGCAGGUAACAGAACCCAGGCAGCAUCAACUCCCAAGUCUCCUUCUUAACCAAGCACAUGUUUAGACUAAAGAAGCAGGUUUUGUUUUAAAUUACCUAUUUGACUAGCUUAGAUAGGACCCAAAAGAACUUAAUGGAAAGGAAGCUUAAUGGGACCUCAUUAGAUUGUUAUAACAUUUUUUCUGCACUCUGCUAUUAGCUCUUUAAAAUAGAUUAUCGGAAAGAACACACUUCACAGAUUUAAAUUACUUGUGGCUUUUGCCUUACCUGAGUUAUUUCUUUUACUUUUUAUUCGUCUGGAGUUUUCAGAUUAGCUUGGUGAGAUAUUUCUUUUCCAUUUCUAGAUUUACAGAUACUUGUCAGAAGCUGGCUCAGUUGAGUUGUUAGUGACUCUACUCAAUCCUAAUAAAAAAAUCAUUUUAAUUGAUGGAUUCAAAUUUUGGAAUAAUUUUUCUGUAAAAUUAAACAAAAGAGGGUUUUUUUUCCAAGUUGUUUUUUCAAGGGGCAACAUACUAACAAGAAGAUAGGUGGUCUAGGGGUCUUUUUGGAGUUUCCCCCAUUUUGCCAUUGUAUUGAAACUAGUAAUAGUCAAAGAUCAUCCAAAUCCCAGAGUUAGUCUUAAGUUGCAUUUACAAUAGCAACAUUCCCUAAACUUGGGUGUGCUCAAAUUUGCUCCACUAUAAGGAAGGAAAGACAAUGCAGGAAAGAUCUGGAGCAUUGGAUACCCAUGAUCAGGUGCUUUACCUCCAGCCAAGCUCUAAAACUGAGCUUUGUUAUGAAAGCUUUGGCACUGAACUUUGGGCCAAGAAUGGAAGUGGCUCCUCUAUGACAAAAAGAGCAACUAUUGCCUUCAUGUAUUCCAGGCAUGGCUCAAAGGUAUAAUCAAUAGAAAGGUUAAAAUAGGGGAUAGGGAGAUCUAAAAGCUGAGAAGUCCCAUAUGGUUGCUUUUCCUGAAAGAUGUCUGCUUGUUUUGAUGCUCAUCCAACUACUUAUCUGCACUGAUAAAAACAACCCACAAUAAAGGCAGCUGCUGCUUCACAGUUCAUGAUGUUCUACAUUCAGCAUCCUGUGUCCACUUUCAUAAAGCAGAGCAAGAGUACAUGCAGAAGUAUUAAGUGUAUUUUUUUUUUUUGCACCAGUAUCUCCUGCUUUUCACAUUGCAAUU
This 5660-nucleotide long non-coding RNA is filed under the name Taeniopygia guttata (zebra finch). RNAcentral describes it as "lncRNA (ENSTGUG00000019939.1)". Lineage: Eukaryota; Metazoa; Chordata; Aves; Passeriformes; Estrildidae. The record is from RNAcentral.